GAUGAACGCUGGCGGUAUGCUUAACACAUGCAAGUCGAACGAAAUCUUCGGAUUUAGUGUGGGACGUGUCAGUCAGGCGUGAAAAUCUUGGUUAGGGAUCGCGACAACCACUGGAACCGGUGGCUAAUACCGGAUGUGCCCAGAGGUCAACGAGAAAUCGCCUGAAGCUGAGCACGCGUCUGAUUAGCUAGUUGGUGAGGUAAAGGCUCACCAAGGCAGCGAUCAGUAUAUGGCCUGAGAGGAUGACCACCAACACUGGGACUUCGACACGGCCCAGACACCUACGGGAGGCAGCAGUGAAGAAUUUUCGGCAAUGGGCGAAAGCCUGACCGAGCAACACCGCGUGCGGGAAGAAGGCCUUUGGGGCGUAAACCGCUUUUAUAGGGGAAGAACGAAAGUGAUGUACCUAAAGAAACAGCACCGUGUAAACCCCUGG
This 436-nucleotide ribosomal RNA is filed under the name uncultured bacterium. RNAcentral describes it as "partial 16S ribosomal RNA". It matches the Rfam family "Bacterial small subunit ribosomal RNA", at positions 28 to 508 of the family's 1533-position model. The record is from RNAcentral.